This 281-nucleotide ribosomal RNA is filed under the name Pneumocystis carinii. RNAcentral's name for it is "partial large subunit ribosomal RNA". It matches the Rfam family "Bacterial large subunit ribosomal RNA", at positions 845 to 1100 of the family's 2925-position model. Lineage: Eukaryota; Fungi; Ascomycota; Pneumocystomycetes; Pneumocystales; Pneumocystaceae. The record is from RNAcentral.
AUAGCUGGUUUUCUGCGAAAUCUAUUUUAGUAGAUGAUUUAUUAUUUUAUUAGUGGGUAUAGCACUGAAUAUCUCGUAAUUUGAAUUACAAGAAGGGAGUAUGAAAGUACUUACUUUGGAUAUUUAAUCUCAGAAUAACUAAUAAGAAGAUAAGAUAAAUUCUCAGACUUUUUGCGAUAAGGUGAAAAGUCGAAAGGGAAACAGCCCAGAAUAAUGAAUAAAGUUCCUCAAUUGUUACUGAGUGAAAGAAAAGAGGUUUUUCAUCUGAGACAAUCAAGAAG